GUGGUUUCUGAUUAUGGACUUGCUGCAAUUUUGAAGAAAACUGCUUGCCGGAAAGCUCGUUCAGAGUGUGAGUCUGCGAAAAUCCAUUCAUGUAUGGACUGUACAAUGCUCAGCCCACACUACACAGCACCAGAGGCAUGGGAGCCAGUGAAGAAGUCAUUGAAUUUAUUCUGGGACGACUCAAUUGGUAUUUCUGCAGAGUCAGAUGCCUGGAGUUUUGGUUGUACAUUGGUGGAAAUGUGCACAGGCUCCAUCCCGUGGGCCGGUUUAAGUGCUGAGGAAAUUUAUCGAGCUGUUGUCAAGACUCGAAAAUUGCCUCCACAAUAUGCAAGUGUAGUGGGAGUUGGAAUGCCUAGAGAAUUGUGGAAGAUGAUUGGAGAGUGCCUACAGUUCAAGGCAGCAAAAAGGCCAAGUUUUAAUGCAAUGUUAGCAAUAUUCCUUCGUCAUCUGCAAGGGUUGCCACGCAGCCCUCCUGCCAGCCCUGAUAAUAGCUUUGCAAAAUAUCCUGGAUCAAGUGUGACAGAACCAUCUCCCACAUCUGAUUUGGAGGUUUUUCAGGAUAAUCCUAGCCAUUUACAUAGGCUAGUAUCAGAAGGGGAUGUAAAUGGCGUGAGAGAUUUGCUUGGAAGGGCUGCAUCAGGAAACAGUGGUGGCUCAGUAUCUAUACUAUUAGAAGCGCAAAAUGCUGACGGGCAGACUGCUCUUCAUCUGGCUUGUAGACGCGGUAGUGCAGAACUUGUUCAGUCUAUUUUGGCAUACAGGCAGGCAAAUGUGGAUGUUUUGGAUAAAGA
Molecule: unclassified non-coding RNA, 791 nt
Filed under: Hevea brasiliensis (rubber tree)
Lineage: Eukaryota; Viridiplantae; Streptophyta; Magnoliopsida; Malpighiales; Euphorbiaceae
Source: RNAcentral